ACCUGGCUGGCUCAGUCGGUACAGCAUGUGACUCUUAAUCUUGGGGUUGUGAGUUCAAGCCCCACGUUGGGGG
This 73-nucleotide transfer RNA is filed under the name Ailuropoda melanoleuca (giant panda). It matches the Rfam family "tRNA". Rfam says of the family: Transfer RNA (tRNA) molecules are approximately 80 nucleotides in length. Their secondary structure includes four short double-helical elements and three loops (D, anti-codon, and T loops). Lineage: Eukaryota; Metazoa; Chordata; Mammalia; Carnivora; Ursidae. The record is from Rfam by way of RNAcentral.